RNAcentral lists this long non-coding RNA (202 nucleotides) under Elaeis guineensis (African oil palm). RNAcentral's name for it is "long non-coding RNA (EGUI_LNC032897)". Lineage: Eukaryota; Viridiplantae; Streptophyta; Magnoliopsida; Arecales; Arecaceae. The record is from RNAcentral.
UGGUGUCAUUGGCUAUUCACAACAAGGCUACUAAGUUUGAUUGCACAUUCCUUUGGUCCUUAGCUAUUCAGAUUCUUGCUGUGUAUGUUGAUUUCAAUAGGUUCAAGUUUGCUGUUUGAAGUAGAAUGCACCUAGAUGGAAUCUAUCGAUUUUGAUAGAAAAGAAGAAGUCCUAUGUGAUUUGCAAGACUGAGUUCAGAAAG